Molecule: non-coding RNA, 117 nt
Filed under: Chlorocebus sabaeus (green monkey)
Lineage: Eukaryota; Metazoa; Chordata; Mammalia; Primates; Cercopithecidae
Source: Rfam by way of RNAcentral
GUUGGGCGUGGUGGUGCACGCCUGUAAUCCCAGCUACUCUGGAGGCUGAGGUAGGAGGAUCACUUGAGGUCAGGAGUUCAAAACCAGCCUGGCCAACAUGGUGAAACUCCAUCUCUA